CCUAGCACGCCCACGUGUCUGAAGGGAUGGUGAAGGAAGGGGAGGGAGGUCCCCGACAACUGACCUCAAUAUCUAAGACUCACUGUAGGAGUCAGGGAGAACGGCUUUGUGAGUCUCAGCUCCACUUACGUCAGGCUUGACUGUGAGAUGGCAGUUAUUAUGGUCUGGUGAAAUGAUGGUGUGAUUGGAUUAGAGCGUCAGAUGAGCUGGGUUUAAAACUUCCCUGUCCUGAAGACCCAUUGUUCACCUCUGAUUUGUCCUCAAAGGAGAAACCGGUGCCUCAAGUCAAUCUCUCCAUUCAGAAGCUUCGAAGAUGCAGCUCACCCUCUGUGCUUCUCUCUAGGCUUCAUUAUCUUUUUCACAGUGUCCUCAGAUUUGGCCUGUUGCAGCUGGCAGGACUCCCUUCACAUUCAAGACUGGACAGCAUUCUGCUGUGUAGGCAGGCCACACUGCUUCUCCACUCACCUGUGAAUGACUGCCUGGUCCCCUCUGUCUCAGCUACUGCUGUGAAGAUGGUCACACAAAUGUGUGUUCAGAAAGGCUGCCUCUGUAGAGAAGCCAGGAAGGAUACUGCUGGAGAUAGCAGAAGGUGAUGGCAGAGGCAUCUUGCAAGCACAUCUGUAGGCUGCACUGGCUGCUCUGUUACGGUCCUCAGUCCCAGGACAGAGGGCAGGGACACAGUGAAAAAGAAGAGAUAACCGUACUGCCUUCUGGAAUGUUCCAAAAGAAGCUGAGUGCUCGUGGCUGCCCCUCCCUGGAAGGAGCAUUGCUUUUCAUACUCCGAAGUUCCCUGACUCCAUCUCCCACAUCCUGUGAUCAACACUGAUAAACACAAAGGAACAAACAAAUCCACCCUCAGCUGACAAGACACCCAGCCUAGAAGGAAUGGCACUGGGGAAGGUGGCCGGCGUGAAUAAUUCAUGAAGGCGGGAAUCUGGCCUGGGCACAGAGUGUUCCAGUGGCAAGGGCCUGAAGGAGCUGCUGUGAAGAUGGGUUUUCUCUACAUCCUGCUCGUUCCCUGCAGCCAUCAGACAGAGUCUGCAGUGAGACAGGCAGACCAGACUAGACUCAGCCUUAGCAGCUGGGCUGUCUGUAGCCAGCCACCAAGCAGCCUCACUGUAAAUGGUAAUUCCAGACAGAAAUGGAAA
This is a long non-coding RNA of Peromyscus eremicus (cactus mouse), 1148 nucleotides long. RefSeq lists it as uncharacterized. The record is from RefSeq and is a predicted model, not a curated record. The transcript has 5 exons. NCBI's taxonomy places the organism in Eukaryota, Metazoa, Chordata, Mammalia, Rodentia, Cricetidae.